UUAGCGGCGGACGGGUGAGUAACACGUGGGUAACCUACCUAUAAGACUGGGAUAACUUCGGGAAACCGGAGCUAAUACCGGAUAACAUUUGGAACCGCAUGGUUCUAAAGUGAAAGAUGGUUUUGCUAUCACUUAUAGAUGGACCCGCGCCGUAUUAGCUAGUUGGUAAGGUAACGGCUUACCAAGGCGACGAUACGUAGCCGACCUGAGAGGGUGAUCGGCCACACUGGAACUGAGACACGGUCCAGACUCCUACGGGAGGCAGCAGUAGGGAAUCUUCCGCAAUGGGCGAAAGCCUGACGGAGCAACGCCGCGUGAGUGAUGAAGGGUUUCGGCUCGUAAAACUCUGUUAUUAGGGAAGAACAAACGUGUAAGUAACUGUGCACGUCUUGACGGUACCUAAUCAGAAAGCCACGGCUAACUACGUGCCAGCAGCCGCGGUAAUACGUAGGUGGCAAGCGUUAUCCGGAAUUAUUGGGCGUAAAGCGCGCGUAGGCGGUUUCUUAAGUCUGAUGUGAAAGCCCACGGCUCAACCGUGGAGGGUCAUUGGAAACUGGGAAACUUGAGUGCAGAAGAGGAAAGUGGAAUUCCAUGUGUAGCGGUGAAAUGCGCAGAGAUAUGGAGGAACACCAGUGGCGAAGGCGACUUUCUGGUCUGUAACUGACGCUGAUG
RNAcentral lists this ribosomal RNA (672 nucleotides) under Staphylococcus saprophyticus. Its description in RNAcentral is "bacterial SSU rRNA". It matches the Rfam family "Bacterial small subunit ribosomal RNA", at positions 92 to 751 of the family's 1533-position model. The record is from RNAcentral. Lineage: Bacteria; Bacillati; Bacillota; Bacilli; Caryophanales; Staphylococcaceae.